This 253-nucleotide ribosomal RNA is filed under the name uncultured bacterium. Its description in RNAcentral is "partial 16S ribosomal RNA". It matches the Rfam family "Bacterial small subunit ribosomal RNA", at positions 524 to 776 of the family's 1533-position model. The record is from RNAcentral.
UACGAAGGGGGCUAGCGUUGUUCGGAAUUACUGGGCGUAAAGCGCGCGUAGGCGGUGAUCUUUGUCAGAGGUGAAAGCCCGGGGCUCAACUCCGGAAUUGCCUUUGAAACGGGAUCGCUUGAGUCCGAGAGAGGAUGGCGGAAUUCCUAGUGUAGAGGUGAAAUUCGUAGAUAUUAGGAAGAACACCGGUGGCGAAGGCGGGACUCUGGGCCGAUACUGACGCUGAGGAGCGAAAGCGUGGGGAGCAAACAGG